UACGGAGGGUGCGAGCGUUAUCCGGAAUCACUGGGCGUAAAGGGCGCGUAGGCGGUUUGUUAAGUCCGAUGUUAAAGCGUGAGGCUCAACCUCAUCACGGCGUUGGAUACUGGCGAGCUGGACGGUUGGAGAGGAAGGUAGAAUUACCAGUGUAGCGGUGGAAUGCGUAGAUACUGGUAGGAAUACCCAUUGCGAAGGCAGCCUUCUGGACAACACGUGACGCUGAGGCG
Molecule: ribosomal RNA, 230 nt
Filed under: uncultured microorganism
Description: partial 16S ribosomal RNA
Rfam family: Bacterial small subunit ribosomal RNA
Source: RNAcentral